ACAAAACUCAAAAACAGUAAAACUCAUUCACAACUCAAUUCAUCCUGCCAAUUCAAUCACUUCCAGCCACUUCUUUCAAUCAGAAACUGCACAAUGAUAUUUCUCAACCUUAAAUCUCAGCAUCAGCAAUCCUAGCAAGUGGAAAAACAACUCAAUUCAGCCAAUUCCAGGAAUAAGCAUAAGUAGAACAGCAAAAUCAGUUUCAGCCUCACAGGAAGUGUUUACACUCAUAUUCACUCAAGUGUUUAGGCUCAUCCUGUUUCACUCCUUCAUGACAUGUCAACCUCUAUUCUUAACUUUGAAAGGAUUCUAAGUGACCAUGCUCAGCUCUUUGGUUUCUUCUAGAUCAAAAGGACUUUGUUGGCUUGUAAUGUAACGAUAUGAAGGCUAAGAAAACACAAGGCUUAAUGGAAGUAGAAACUGUGAAGAAGAGGAGAACCUAAACUCAGUGCACGUCUUUUUGAUAAUUCGGCCAGUCCAAUUUUUUCUUUCUCUCUGGUUUUCAUACACUGUCAGGUCUCAUUUUUCAUUCUUUUGCUAUUUUUCUCUUUUCCAGACCUGCUAUUUUCUUUUUCUUAAAACCAGAUUUCAUUUUUUUCUUUUCUUUUUCUUGGCCUUUCUUUUCUCUUUUGCACUCACUAAGUUCCAAGAUCCUCCAUCCCUCUCACAUGUCUCUACAGGUUAGGUAUUUUGUGGGAAAAAGGGUUUGUAACGAAUGGAAACAAAGAAAAAUGGCUAAGGCUAAAAAGAAAAGGUGCAAUGGUAAGAAAAACUGAAAUGGUAAAACUAAAUGGUUAUGAAUGGUUAGAAAAAAUGCCUAAAUCAUGUCUAAAGUCCACCAAAAGCAAGCACAUCAACAAAGAAUCAAUGCAAAAUCAGAAUGAAAAUCAAGCAUGCAUGAAAUCUCACAAGAAAGAAAAAAAUUGGCCCAAAAUCUCUCCAGGUUAAUAAAUUGCCAAUACUGACUUGCUACCCUCUUUUAUGCAAAAAUGCUUAAUUAAAUUGAACUCAGAUGCAAAAACCAAAGCUAGGAAUACCUCUACUUGAAUCUAAAGCAAAGAAUUACAUCAACAGUUCUAAUUAAGAGAAAUAAAACUGAGAAAUGAGUAAAUCAGCAAAGAAUUGAGAAAGGAAUGAAAUAGAACUCAAAAAGAACCUAGAAAUGUCUAACAGAAUGACCUAAAACUAUAUACAACCUAUAAAAUCUAAGACUGAACAGUAUGUAAGAACCUAGACUUAAUUUCAAUGUAUACGAAAGAAACUAGCAAAUAAAAAAAAUCCCAAGAAAAAU
RNAcentral lists this long non-coding RNA (1291 nucleotides) under Vigna radiata. RNAcentral's name for it is "long non-coding RNA (VRAD_LNC004506)". The record is from RNAcentral. Lineage: Eukaryota; Viridiplantae; Streptophyta; Magnoliopsida; Fabales; Fabaceae.